RNAcentral lists this long non-coding RNA (336 nucleotides) under Musa acuminata (dwarf banana). RNAcentral's name for it is "long non-coding RNA (MACU_LNC000752)". The record is from RNAcentral. Lineage: Eukaryota; Viridiplantae; Streptophyta; Magnoliopsida; Zingiberales; Musaceae.
ACCUCUCCGCCUGGAGAACUUGCUAUGUUCGUUGACGGAACUGCUCCUGGAUUGACAAGGUUGUAGGUUGGGGAUGCCGGGGCUGUCAUCUGGAAGUUGAUCCACCGCCCAGAUCCAACAGUGGAGGCAUCAGAUUCAUCACAUUCAGGUAUAGCAGCAGGAAGCCCAUGAUAGCGGCCCCGGGUAGGGCUAGCAGGGGCGGACGCAGCAAACAGAGACUGGGGGAAUGCACUGUAGUCCCAGUCUGGCUUCCUAAUCUUAGGUGGGCGGGAGGCAGUCGGUGAGGAAAGGGGCGGGGUGACAGGUGCACUGUUGGAUAUUCGAAGAGGUGGGAGG